This 377-nucleotide ribosomal RNA is filed under the name uncultured eukaryote. RNAcentral's name for it is "partial 18S ribosomal RNA". It matches the Rfam family "Eukaryotic small subunit ribosomal RNA", at positions 592 to 976 of the family's 1831-position model. The record is from RNAcentral.
CAAUAGCGUAUAUUUAAGUUGCUGCAGUUAAAAAGCUCGUAGUUGUAUUUCGGGUGGGAAUGGCCGGUCCGCCGUUUCGGUGUGCACUUGCUACGCCCACCUUGCUGCCGGGGACGUGCUCUUGAGUUCACGCUCGGGACACGGAGUCGGCGAGGUUACUUUGAGUAAAUUAGAGUGUUCAAAGCAGGCCUACGCUCUGAAUACAUUAGCAUGGAAUAACACGAUAGGACUCUGGCCUAUCUUGUUGGUCUGUAGGACCGGAGUAAUGAUUAAGAGGGACAGUCGGGGGCAUUCGUAUUUCAUUGUCAGAGGUGAAAUUCUUGGAUUUAUGAAAGACGAACUACUGCGAAAGCAUUUGCCAAGGAUGUUUUCAUUAA